CCCAGCAGAUGACCUGUACUUCUCUGCUCUCUCCCCUACUGCAAAGAGGCAGCGAGUGCAGCAUUAGUAAGCCUGACUCAGGGGAAGGUAAGUGGCCUGCAGAGAAAUGGUCCUAGGUCCGCAACUGAGGCGAGUGAACUUGUCGGACAGAUGAAGACUCUAACUGGAAGAAACAAUCAGCGCAUUCACGGAUGCACCACCAUCCAGAAAUCUCCCGGUGGCUUCCAUACAAAAACUGAUGUUUCUAAAGAUGGAAAGAACAGGUCUAGGAGGCAGAAGAGUAUCUCCUAGCAAAGUGUUCUGUAGCUCAAAGGUCAGGAGCACGUCUUUGAAUUCCUCGCAGACGAUGUAUCCAUCAGUCCUGUGGGGACACAACGCGAUGUCAACCCUCGAACCUGCUGCCUGCUCUGCCUCUCCUCCCUCCCCAGUUUGCGGAAGACAGUGGGCCACAUCUGAGCACUAGGGGGUCCUGAAGGAUGUCGCGGGUCAGCCAGUGUCCCACACCCUCCGUGCAGAAGGCAGGCCUGUGGAAACUGGCACUGCCUCUUCCUCCCCAGAUUCUGCCGAAGAAAGCUGGGGUGAAAGCCCUUAUCCAGCCUCACCCAUCAUGGAACAGAGCUCACUAACCAGGCAGCUGCCGGGGAAAGAUGCUGACUGUUUUUUUGCUCACUAGCCUGUGAGUCCCUAAACCUGGGAAGAACGUUUUAAUCCAGCAUUACGAUGCCGGUUUCAUUGGCUCCGUUCCCUCUGGAGGGAAGCCAGAAUUGGUAAAGCACUGACUUUGCAAAUCCAGUGUAACAUCCUGAAAAUUGGAGCCACCAGGCCUCAACUCCCAGCAGCCCCAUGCCAGCUUUCCAUCCCCAUCUCUGGAGCCACCCCUCCCCAUCCCUGUGUUUAGCCUCCAUUGAAGGCCCCUCACGCACACGGGAUGGGAGUAGCCGCCAUGGAAAUCAAAGCCAGUGAUGGCCUGGACACAGUCGAUGUCCAGCUUGCGGGCCACGCGGUGUAGAUUGGGCAGGUUCAGCUGGACACAGCCAAUAGGCAUCAUGCUGGGCAGGAAGAGAUGAACACCACAGACGGGGUAAAUGAUUUGCCUAAAGUCACACAGCUCGUAAGGGCCAGAGCCCGCACUUUCAUCCACUAGCCUAUAUUCUGUGCUGUCAUCACUGAUAGCAGUGACUGAGACUGAGAGACAAAGUCACUUAAGAGCUGAUGGCUGCUACUAAAAAUUUUAAAUGUGUGGCUCACGUUACAUUUCAACUGAACACUGCUAUGCUGGUUCCAGCACGAAAGACAGGUGAGAUGGUGCAGAGAAAAUCCUCAGCAACCCUGCAGGCCCAGGCAGGGGGCAUCACCCACUCCAGCCUGCUGCUGGCAGUGACUGUGACCAGCGCCUGCAGCCUUUCCCACUAAGCGGAGGCCCCUCCACUCCCCACUCAGCUUCCCGGAGUCUUGCAACCCCCAAGGACUCCCGGGGUCUGAUGAGAAGUAAAUGGUCUCUGUGAUCGGCCACUGU
Molecule: non-coding RNA, 1516 nt
Filed under: Pan troglodytes (chimpanzee)
Lineage: Eukaryota; Metazoa; Chordata; Mammalia; Primates; Hominidae
Source: RNAcentral